UACGAAGGGUGCGAGCGUUAAUCGGAAUUACUGGGCGUAAAGGGCGCGUAGGCGGCCCGCUAAGUCGAACGUGAAAUCCCCAGGCUCAACCUGGGAACUGCGUCCGAUACUGGCAGGCUUGAAUCCGGGAGAGGGAUGUGGAAUUCCAGGUGUAGCGGUGAAAUGCGUAGAUAUCUGGAGGAACACCGGUGGCGAAGGCGGCAUCCUGGACCGGUAUUGACGCUGAGGCGCGAAAGCUAGGGUAGCAAACGGG
This 253-nucleotide ribosomal RNA is filed under the name uncultured bacterium. Its description in RNAcentral is "partial 16S ribosomal RNA". It matches the Rfam family "Bacterial small subunit ribosomal RNA", at positions 524 to 776 of the family's 1533-position model. The record is from RNAcentral.